This 271-nucleotide ribosomal RNA is filed under the name uncultured bacterium. Its description in RNAcentral is "partial 16S ribosomal RNA". It matches the Rfam family "Bacterial small subunit ribosomal RNA", at positions 524 to 794 of the family's 1533-position model. The record is from RNAcentral.
GACGAACCGUGCGAACGUUGUUCGGAAUCACUGGGCUUAAAGGGCGCGUAGGCGGGUGAUCAAGUCUGGGGUGAAAUCUUUCGGCUUAACCGGAAAACUGCCCUGGAUACUGGUCGUCUUGAGGGAGGUAGGGGCAUGUGGAACUUCUGGUGGAGCGGUGAAAUGCGUUGAUAUCAGAAGGAACGCCGGUGGCGAAAGCGACGUGCUGGACCUCUUCUGACGCUGAGGCGCGAAAGCUAGGGGAGCGAACGGGAUUAGAUACCCCGGUAGU